RNAcentral lists this transfer-messenger RNA (341 nucleotides) under Patescibacteria group. Its description in RNAcentral is "GWA2-35-9 sp002793435 Standard tmRNA". It matches the Rfam family "transfer-messenger RNA". From Rfam's summary of the family: Bacterial tmRNA, also known as 10Sa RNA or SsrA, is named for its dual tRNA and mRNA-like properties. Its role is to liberate the mRNA from a stalled ribosome. The record is from RNAcentral. RNAcentral also lists the same sequence under 5 other names.
GGGGUCAUUUAGAUUCGACUGGAAGAAUGAUGACUAUAGUUCAAGUAGAGGAUGUUUGUUACCUCUUAAAUAAUCAAACACAGUUGAUAAUUGCCAACUUAUAUAAUAAGGUUAAAACCGCUUUUAGUGGUCUAAAACCAGCAUUAGCUUUUGCUUAAAUUUUAAGCAAGCGGGUUAUUGAAAGUGUUAAUCGUCCAAUUUCAAAUAACCCUCAUAUUGACGAUUUAUAGCUAAUAAGGUAGCUUUAGUAAUUAGCUGAAAAAACGAAAGUAUCACAUAAACUUGUCAACCUAUUUUCAAAAGCUUUCAGGACGGGGGUUCAAAUCCCCCUGACUCCACCA